Molecule: long non-coding RNA, 1834 nt
Organism: Cavia porcellus (domestic guinea pig)
Lineage: Eukaryota; Metazoa; Chordata; Mammalia; Rodentia; Caviidae
Exons: 3
Source: RefSeq, a predicted model, not a curated record
AGACUAAGAUAGCUUGGUGGGAGACAGAUUUUACUUGGCUGAUUUGGAGCUGCAGGCCAACAUCAUAAGAGAAGACUGCAAGUGUGUAAUUACAAAUGAGGAGCCUGUCAUCACUCUUGCAAAAGAGCAAAGGGGAUCCUGGUGUGGCUUACUCCGGCAGAAGAAUCCUAAUGUGGCUUUUGACUUUGACCACUGGGAAGAAUGUGAUGAGGACAGAGAGGAGGGCCUGUUCCCUGAAGUUGUAAGUGCUCGAAACCUGUCCUGCAAAGUGGCCGAGGUGACUGAAGACAGUGACAGCAGUGCAGAUGACUCCGAGGACAGUGACAGUGAAUGAAAAUGUGCGUUAAGCCUUGAAGAGCAGCCAGAGGCCUCUGAACAUAGUGGACAUCGCUGAGUGACUGGGAGAGAAGAAAACAAGCAUUCAUAGCCAAGGCUUUUUUUCACCUGAAGGAUAAGACUCUACUAAGUGUUGGCUGGUGGCACUAGGAUGGCUCAUGGUGAAAAACUUUCAGUCCACCUAAAAACAAGUUAUAAAAGAAGAUGCUGGUUGUCAAAUGUGGAAGAAGCAAAGAGUGCAGGACUGGUCCAAGCCCAGGCUGGACCGUGUAUCCCCCUCGCUGCCUCUCAUACACAUCGUGACAAGCUCAGCUUUGCUUUAAGUGGCAGAGAGCAAACCGUGACAUUCUGGUCUGGAGUCGGCCCACAAGUUUUUUGUCAUUUAGACCUACCUUUAUGUUUGGUACAAUGUUCAAAACCUGUCUUGUGCUUGUAAAUGAGGCAGCUGUCUCACAGACGUGGCCAUUGACUGAGUAAAAGUACUGACACUUUUCCUGUUCUCCAGGCACUGCUAGCACUGAGAGAAGUGAGUGCACAUCUUUUCCCAAGGACAUUGUGGGAUGGCUUUAGUGAGGCCAGUGAGACCCAGGCUUAUUCUACAGGUCAAGCUGUGAGUUGCAGACAGCACUGGGGACUUGCAAAGGGACCUUUUAGAGCCUUCAGUGAUACAAACAGCCCUCUACAGCAUAUGAGCUGCAGUUUCCAUGCUGGACUAAGAGGUCUUUUUUGGCAACAUACUGGGAACCUGUGCAGUGCCUGCAGAUAACCUUCAGAACAGAGGGGGUGAUGAGCACCCGUGGUAAGGUUGUAGCACCUGGGAUCCUGAGAGUUCUUGGCUGGCACUUAAGGCAGGAAUAGCCUGGGGCUGGCCUUUCAUCUUUAGAUUUCUUCUCAGAUUUAAAAAAGUACAAAGCUAGGCACUUGGGGCUGAGGCAGGGAAAUCACCAGGUCAAGGCUGACCUGGGCAACUUAACAAGACUUUGCCUCAAAAAGGGAUGGGGACAUAGUUCAGGGGUACAGUAUACCGGAGCUCAACCCCCAGCACCCCACCCCACCCCAAAACAAACCCCUGUGCACUUCCUCAACAUCUGUUGGCUUCCUCUAGAAGUGAAACGGAACACUGACAGAACAUGACAGGUACGCAACCACUGCAAGACAUCUCUUUUUGUCACAUCUCAAAAAGUGUGGGUGCUCAGGCUCCUGUACCUCCCAGGUGACAGCCUCUGCUUGAACUGUGGUAAACACAUAACCCUGUCCCAUGAGCAAGGCUGGGUUCUGCUCUCACUCUGUUUCUUCAUUUGUGAAAUAAGAUGCUGAGCUCAUGCACAGCCUCUCUUCUCCAUAGGCAGUGCCCAGAGUGGUGCUGGGCAGGGACCUCAUCUGGGUGUGUGUGGAGACUCAACAGAUGUCAGACCCCUGCGCUCCAGUGAAUGGUGUGGCCCAGUCUGGUCAGCUGCAGGAGUGAGUCCUUGCUCCCGAGUGACUUUGAUAGGUUGGC